CCCGCUGAACUUAAGCAUAUCAAUAAGCGGAGGAAAAGAAACCAACAGGGAUUGCCUCAGUAACGGCGAGUGAAGCGGCAACAGCUCAAAUUUGAAAUCUGGCUCUCUUAGGGCCCGAAUUGUAAUUUGUAGAGGAUGUUUCGGCAUUGGCUCCGGUCUAAGUUCCUUGGAACAGGACGUCACAGAGGGUGAGAAUCCCGUAUGUGAUCGGUUGCUUUUGCCAUGUGAAACUCCUUCAACGAGUCGAGUUGUUUGGGAAUGCAGCUCUAAAUGGGAGGUAAAUUUCUUCUAAAGCUAAAUACUGGCCGGAGACCGAUAGCGCACAAGUAGAGUGAUCGAAAGAUGAAAAGCACUUUGGAAAGAGAGUCAAAAAGUACGUGAAAUUGUUGAAAGGGAAGCGCUUGCAACCAGACCUGCCUGCAGUUGCUCAUCCGGGCUUUUGCCCGGUGCACUCUUCUGCUGUCAGGCCAGCAUCAGUUCGGGCGGUCGGAUAAAGGCUUCGGGAAUGUAGCUCCUCUCGGGGAGUGUUAUAGCCCGUUGCGAAAUGCGGCCAGCUUGGACUGAGGUCCGCGCUUCGGCUAGGAUGCUGGCGUAAUGGUUGUAAGCGGCCCGUCUUGAAACACGG
This 625-nucleotide ribosomal RNA is filed under the name uncultured fungus. RNAcentral's name for it is "eukaryotic LSU rRNA". It matches the Rfam family "Eukaryotic large subunit ribosomal RNA", at positions 24 to 664 of the family's 3401-position model. Lineage: Eukaryota; Fungi. The record is from RNAcentral.